ACUCGAAGCUGCAGCACAGCUGGGUUUGUUAAAAACGACAUCGCAUCGGGAACGCGGGCAAUGAGCCCCCUCCGCGCGCCUCGGAUCGGCACGGUUGGCUUAUGUACGUGUGCGAAAGAAGUUCAACAUCCGUGUUCACCCUGGUCGAUUGUACGUUAGGCGUCACAUCACGUUAAGAAGCAUUAAUUCACAGCUCUCAGCAGAGCAGUCAAGCCCCCUACGUAUGCGAGAACUGCCCACGGAAGUGGACACCACAGAGCUACCUCCGACAUCCCUUCCAAGUGACUCCUGGGUUCACACCGAGCAGGAGGCAAGCCACUUGCCACUCGCUCCGACAACACGACAGCGAGGCGAAAACUGACAGCCGCCCGGGACACUCCGAGGCCCUUGCAACGGGGCUUAGAGCUACACACCCGGUCCACCGAUCAAGUUGCCGUGGGGACGCGGCGGCAGCGAGCGACGGCGACACGCGCUGGCGGCAGGGACGCG
Long non-coding RNA from Lethenteron reissneri (Far Eastern brook lamprey), 489 nucleotides. RefSeq lists it as uncharacterized. The record is from RefSeq and is a predicted model, not a curated record. NCBI's taxonomy places the organism in Eukaryota, Metazoa, Chordata, Hyperoartia, Petromyzontiformes, Petromyzontidae.